UGGGGAAUUUUGGACAAUGGGCGAAAGCCUGAUCCAGCAAUGCCGCGUGUGUGAAGAAGGCCUUCGGGUUGUAAAGCACUUUUGUCCGGAAAGAAAUCCUUGGCUCUAAUACAGUCGGGGGAUGACGGUACCGGAAGAAUAAGCACCGGCUAACUACGUGCCAGCAGCCGCGGUAAUACGUAGGGUGCAAGCGUUAAUCGGAAUUACUGGGCGUAAAGCGUGCGCAGGCGGUUUGCUAAGACCGAUGUGAAAUCCCCGGGCUCAACCUGGGAACUGCAUUGGUGACUGGCAGGCUAGAGUAUGGCAGAGGGGGGUAGAAUUCCACGUGUAGCAGUGAAAUGCGUAGAGAUGUGGAGGAAUACCGAUGGCGAAGGCAGCCCCUGGGCCAAUACUGACGCUCAUGCACGAAAGCGUGGGGAGCAAACAGGAUUAGAUACCCUGGUAGUCCACGCCCUAAACGAUGUCAACUAGUUGUUGGGGAUUCAUUUCCUUAGUAACGUAGCUAACGCGUGAAGUUGACCGCCUGGGGAGUACGGUCGCAAGAUUAAAACUCAAAUGAAUUGAC
RNAcentral lists this ribosomal RNA (565 nucleotides) under uncultured bacterium. RNAcentral describes it as "partial 16S ribosomal RNA". It matches the Rfam family "Bacterial small subunit ribosomal RNA", at positions 355 to 914 of the family's 1533-position model. The record is from RNAcentral.